GCGGAAAUAGUUCAGUUGGUAGAGCAUAACCUUGCCAAGGUUAGGGUCGCGAGUUCGAGUCUCGUUUUCCGCU
RNAcentral lists this transfer RNA (73 nucleotides) under Phocaeicola vulgatus. RNAcentral's name for it is "tRNA-Gly". It matches the Rfam family "tRNA". From Rfam's summary of the family: Transfer RNA (tRNA) molecules are approximately 80 nucleotides in length. Their secondary structure includes four short double-helical elements and three loops (D, anti-codon, and T loops). Lineage: Bacteria; Pseudomonadati; Bacteroidota; Bacteroidia; Bacteroidales; Bacteroidaceae. The record is from RNAcentral.